ACUCAAAGGAAUUGACGGGGGCCCGCACAAGCGGUGGAGUAUGUGGUUUAAUUCGAAGCAACGCGCAGAACCUUACCUGGGCUUAACAUCCACUGACAACCGCAGAGAUGCGGCUUUCCCUUCGGGGACAGUGAGAUAGGUGCUGCAUGGCUGUCGUCAGCUCGUGUCGUAAGAUGUUGGGUUAAGUCCCGCAACGAGCGCAACCCUUGUUCUUAGUUGCCAGCAUUAAGUUGGGCACUCUGAGAAGACUGCCGGUGUUAAACCGGAGGAAGGCGGGGAUGACGUCAAGUCCUCAUGGCCCUUACGUCCAGGGCUACACACGUACUACAAUGGCGAAGACAGAGGGUUGCGAAGCCGCGAGGUGGAGCUAAUCCCAAAAACAUCGUCUCAGUCCGGAUUGAAGUCUGCAACUCGACUUCAUGAAGCUGGAAUCGCUAGUAAUCGCAGAUCAGCACGCUGCGGUGAAUACGUUCCCGGGCCUUGUACACACCGCCCGU
RNAcentral lists this ribosomal RNA (497 nucleotides) under uncultured bacterium. RNAcentral describes it as "partial 16S ribosomal RNA". It matches the Rfam family "Bacterial small subunit ribosomal RNA", at positions 899 to 1397 of the family's 1533-position model. The record is from RNAcentral.